AGACGGAGGGCGCAAGCGUUGUUCGGAAUUACUGGGCGUAAAGCGCGGGCAGGCGGUCUGUUAAGUCUUCUGUGAAAACCCGGGGCUUAACCCCGUGGAAUGCAGAGGAUACUGGCAGACUGGAGACCGGUAGAGGCUAGCGGAAUUCCUGGUGUAGCGGUGGAAUGCGUAGAUAUCAGGAAGAACACCUGUGGCGAAGGCGGCUAGCUGGGCUGGGUCUGACGCUCAUCCGCGAAAGCGUGGGGAGCAAACAGGAUUAGAAACCCUAGUAGUCC
This 275-nucleotide ribosomal RNA is filed under the name uncultured bacterium. RNAcentral describes it as "partial 16S ribosomal RNA". It matches the Rfam family "Bacterial small subunit ribosomal RNA", at positions 523 to 796 of the family's 1533-position model. The record is from RNAcentral.